CUAUCAAAAAAAAACGAAAGAGAGCAGUGUGGGAGGUAGCAUCACUCUCUGAGGACAUCGAAGUGCCGACCAUAAACGAUGUCGCCGGCGAUUAGGCAGUCCAAUCCAAUGAGCGGCCAAGCCGCUGCCGGCCAACCAAGGUCUUUGGGUACCGGGGCCACAAGGGCUGCGAAGCUGAAAAUUAAAGGAAUUGACGGAAGGGCACCACCAGGAGUGGAGCCUGCGGCUUAAUUUGACUCAACACGGGAAACCUCACCCGGCCCGGACACGGACAGGAUUGACAGAUUGAUAGCUCUUUCUCGAUUCCGUGGGUGGUGGUGCAUGGCCGUUCUUAGUUGGUGGAGCGAUUUGUCUGGUUAAUUCCGAUAACGAACGAGACUCUGGCAUGCUAACUAGUUACGCGACCCCCGAGCGGUCGGCGUCCCCCAACUUCUUAGAGGGACAAGUGGCGUUCAGCCACCCGAGAUUGAGCAAUAACAGGUCUGUGAUGCCCUUAGAUGUCCGGGGCUGCACGCGCGCUACACUGACUGGCUCAGCGUGUGCCUACCCUACGCCGGCAGGCGCGGGUAACCCGUUGAACCCCAUUCGUGAUGGGGAUCGGGGAUUGCAAUUAUUCCCCAUGAACGAGGAAUUCCCAGUAAGUGCGGGUCAUAAGCUUGCGUUGAUUACGUCCUCCCCCUUUUGUAAAAAAGAUUUACGGGCUCUGCGGCGCCGCGGCGGGGGGGGGGCCGCGGGGGGGGCGGGGGGGGGGCGGACGGGGGGCGCGCCGCCCCCGGCCGGCCCCCCCCCCGCGGCUCUCGUAAGGUGUUGAGGCGGGAAGGGAACUAGGGUGUAUGAUAAUUGGUGAUGUAGGGUCGGGGACCCAGAGUUUAUUGUGAAUGGGUUCAUUAUGCAAGCUCUGGGGAAUGGGGGUGGGGUAUAAAAUGAGUGAGGUAGUUGUUGCGGAAUUGUGAUUAUUUCGAUUCGUGAUCGUAGGCGAUGGAGGGUGUAAAUGGGAACCCGGUAAUGUUGGGUAUGGAGAUGUGCGUCGAAAGAGGAAGUUGUGUGAGUGUAAGGAUUAGUGCUCGUAAGUGGAGAGUGUGUUAUGGUGAGUUGGGCACCCGGCGGGGUGCGACGUAACUGGAGGAGAUGGGAUAGUAUGUGUAGUUAGGUCUGAUUUGUGAGAUGUUGGUGAUUUGGUAGAAAUUAUAUAAAGUGAGGAGGGGUGGCGGCGUAGAUGCGACGA
This 1225-nucleotide ribosomal RNA is filed under the name Entamoeba histolytica. Its description in RNAcentral is "partial small subunit ribosomal RNA". The stretch from base 1 to 699 matches the Rfam family "Eukaryotic small subunit ribosomal RNA", at positions 970 to 1831 of the family's 1831-position model. Lineage: Eukaryota; Evosea; Mastigamoebida; Endamoebidae. The record is from RNAcentral.